Molecule: ribosomal RNA, 422 nt
Filed under: uncultured prokaryote
Description: bacterial SSU rRNA
Rfam family: Bacterial small subunit ribosomal RNA
Source: RNAcentral
UGAGGAAUAUUGGGCAAUGCCCGCAAGGGUGACCCAGCAACGCCGCGUGGAGGAUGAAGGUCGUAAGAUUGUAAACUCCUGUUAGAAGGGAAGAAAAACCGGGUUUGAAGCCCGGCAUGACUGUACCUUCAGAGAAAGCCCCGGCUAACUACGUGCCAGCAGCCGCGGUAAUACGUAGGGGGCAAGCGUUGUCCGGAUUUACUGGGUGUAAAGGGCGCGUAGGCGGGCUCGUAAGUCAGAGGUGAAAUCCUGCAGCUUAACUGCAGAACUGCCUUUGAUACUGCGAGUCUUGAGUUCAGAAGAGAGAGAUGGAAUUCCAGGUGUAGUGGUGAAAUACGUAGAUAUCUGGAAGAACACCAGUUGCGAAGGCGAUCUCUUGGUCUGACACUGACGCUGAGGCGCGAAAGCGUGGGGAGCAAACA